UGGGGAAUUUUGGACAAUGGGCGAAAGCCUGAUCCAGCAAUGCCGCGUGUGUGAAGAAGGCCUUCGGGUUGUAAAGCACUUUUGUCCGGAAAGAAAUCCUUGGCUCUAAUACAGUCGGGGGAUGACGGUACCGGAAGAAUAAGCACCGGCUAACUACGUGCCAGCAGCCGCGGUAAUACGUAGGGUGCAAGCGUUAAUCGGAAUUACUGGGCGUAAAGCGUGCGCAGGCGGUUUGCUAAGACCGAUGUGAAAUCCCCGGGCUCAACCUGGGAACUGCAUUGGUGACUGGCAGGCUAGAGUAUGGCAGAGGGGGGUAGAAUUCCACGUGUAGCAGUGAAAUGCGUAGAGAUGUGGAGGAAUACCGAUGGCGAAGGCAGCCCCCUGGGCCAAUACUGACGCUCAUGCACGAAAGCGUGGGGAGCAAACAGGAUUAGAUACCCUGGUAGUCCACGCCCUAAACGAUGUCAACUAGUUGUGGGGAUUCAUUUCCUAGUAACGUAGCUAACGCGUGAAGUUGACCGCCUGGGGAGUACGGUCGCAAGAUUAAAACUUCAAAUGAAUUGACGGGGUCAUAGCUGUUUCCU
RNAcentral lists this ribosomal RNA (584 nucleotides) under uncultured bacterium. Its description in RNAcentral is "partial 16S ribosomal RNA". It matches the Rfam family "Bacterial small subunit ribosomal RNA", at positions 355 to 1375 of the family's 1533-position model. The record is from RNAcentral.